AACAAGGUCUCCGUUGGUGAACCAGCGGAGGGAUCAUUA
This 39-nucleotide ribosomal RNA is filed under the name Verruciconidia persicina. RNAcentral's name for it is "Acremonium persicinum partial 18S ribosomal RNA". The record is from RNAcentral. RNAcentral also lists the same sequence under 129 other names. Lineage: Eukaryota; Fungi; Ascomycota; Sordariomycetes; Hypocreales; Bionectriaceae.